Molecule: unclassified non-coding RNA, 561 nt
Filed under: uncultured fungus
Lineage: Eukaryota; Fungi
Description: sequence contains 18S rRNA gene, ITS1, 5.8S rRNA gene, ITS2, 28S rRNA gene
Rfam family: tRNA (bases 116-189)
Source: RNAcentral
GGCUGGAUCACCUCCUUUCUAAAGGACAUACUCACUUCAUAGUAGGUCUACUAUCCAGUUUUGAAAGACCGGCAAAUCGUCGGGCGAAACAGGCCCGAAUUCGAUCGAUCAUCGAGGGCCUGUAGCUCAGGUGGUUAGAGCGCACCCCUGAUAAGGGUGAGGUCGGAAGUUCGAGUCUUCCCAGGCCCACCAGUUUUGAAAUUAGGGGAUGUAGCUCAGCUGGGAGAGCACCGGCUUUGCAAGCCGGGGGUCAGGGGUUCGAUCCCCCUCAUCUCCACAGAGAUGAGAAAAUAAAAGUUUUGGAUCGCCGCGCGAGCGGCGGUUCUCGCUCUUUGACAAUUGCAUACGAUCUGCGAAGACAAUCCAAUUUUUUAUGAGCAGAAUCUCAAGAUACUCCAAAUGAGUGUCCUUAAUUCGUCCUUCUUUCGAGAAGUCCGAAACGAGGAUUACAAGUUUGGUCAAGCUACUAAGAGUAUAUGGUGGAUGCCUUGGCGGAGGACGGCGAAGAAGGACGUGAUUGGCUGCGAAAAGCUUCGGGGAGUCGCCAAAUAUACUUUGAUC